Molecule: long non-coding RNA, 1398 nt
Organism: Clupea harengus (Atlantic herring)
Lineage: Eukaryota; Metazoa; Chordata; Actinopteri; Clupeiformes; Clupeidae
Source: Ensembl
UUUUGUACACUGACAAGAGAAGGUAAGAAGUGUAUUCACAUUACUCAUGUUCCUGGGUAAGAGAUGUGGAAUGUAAAGACAUGUACAAAAGCAAUACGUUUUUUUAUAAUGUGGUGCUUUAUGUUACACUGAAUAGUAUGUGAUCAGUGGAAACGAUUUAUUGGUAACUAUCCAUUUUUUUCUCAUCUAUAUUCUUUUAGUUCCUUUUUAAACUAUUUCCGAGAAUAUGGAGAAGCAUGAAUUGGCCUUAACUAAUCUCUGUGUCGCAGAGCGAGCAAGCUGGAGCAAUCAACUAAGGCAUGAUCACCGUCUGAAAAGACAUAUUAAUUUCAAUUAUCUGACUUCAUAAAAAGCCCUGAUCGCAGGAAAGCAAACACAAAUGGUUGAUGCGCCCAUUUCUUUCACUAAAUAGAGGCCAUUUAAUGGGGGGGGAGGCAAUAAUUAAGUAUCAAAGAUGGCUUCAGCAAGCUGCACUCAAUGGGCCCAUAUAUUGAUUGAAACACCUAAGCCGUUCCUAGCAUGGCUGUAGGAAGCAAUGAUCCCUCCUUCCAAAGCAGUCGCUUAAUGUCUAAUUCAAUUAAUGAAGCAAUCAGUUCUUAGGAAGAGGGAAUUUAUACCAGAAGGUUUCAGUGAGAAUGCUUCAUCAGAUUUCAUUUGGGAAAAUCUCCCUUCCUCGCAAAGAAAUAGUCCAGUUGUUUCAUUAUAUUUCACUUCUCUCCUCAGAUGCGUAGAAUCCAUAAUCCAUAAUGAGGCAUUCACUUACGAUGAUUGGGUGAAGUGCAUUAAUACCAGUAAUCUGCAUUACUGUGAUGGAGGUCAUUAAGAGUCUCUGUUAUAUAUGCCAUGGCAAUGUACCACUCAGCUGACUUGGCAUUUGUGGAGUUCACAGCAGUAAUUUCACUUCAAAGUUGGCCAUGACACUGAAUGAGUGUUGAAUUGGAUCUUGCAAUGGAACUGUGGCAAUGUUUCUGUUCAUCAGUUGGUUUGUUUACACACUUUCGCCAUUUCUAUGCAUCAAAUCAUCCCGCCACUCACUUACAAACAGCUUGCAUCACGCUGACGACAUCUUGUGGGCACAGGGGCACAUCUUGUGGGCACAGGCCUAUAAAUAUCCCCUCUGCGUGGAGCGCGUGGAGCCCACAUAUAGCAUCUCUUCAGCUAAUCACACACUGCACAUCCUAUGGCCGCAUGGCAGUCUGUAAUUCUGUGUGCUGAACUGUACCGAGGGCAGGGCAGUAUGACAAAGCAGCACGAUGAAAACUCUUUGUGUUUAAAAACAAGGAGCUUCGGGAGACAAGCAGAGAGAGAGGGGCAUCUUGAGACACCGUGGCUUUAACGCCAAACCGCAAUACUCCCUACCUGCAGUUAGAAGUCUGUACAAUACUUCUCCCUACCUGC